GUCCGAAUGGGGACAGCUUUUUAUCCCGGGGGCCCUGUCCUUGGCUGCCGUGGCUCUACUGAUGGAGGAGAUGGGCGUCAGCUCAGGAGGGAGCUGCCGGGGCCUGGUUGACGGGCUGAGUCUGAGGACUGAGCGAUGGCACCUCGCGCAGGCUCUCCAAUUUCUCUGUGCCUCUGACAGCCCGUCCAGAAGAGGGCGCUGAAGCAGCCAGCGGUCACGUCAUGGGAGAGUUCUAAGCCUCCCAAGAGUGAGCGCCUCUGAAGAGAUUUACCCUGUACGUGUGGACUUGUAAAGGAGGCAAAAACCUUCAACCGACACGCUGGCCGCGAUGUCCAACCUAUGACGGCACCGAGAAGAGACCAGUGGCAGUUAUAGGAGCCAUACGUCUGCAGAGAGGCCUGAAGACCGUUGUGUUAACCCAGCACCAUUUAAUAUUUUCAUUAAUGACUUGAAGGAUGGAAUCGAGUCCCAGCUAAUCAGAUGUCGGCAUGAUACAAAGCUGGAAGGGAUCUCAGCUACUCGGGAGGACAAGAGUAAAAUACAAUCCAAGCUUGACGAAUUGCAGAGGCGGACCUAAAUCAAUAAAGAGAACGGCAAUAAAGAUAAAUGCAGGCUGCCGUGCACCGCGCUGAGGAAAUUAUCCGGGUACCGAAUGGCGAUGAGAGAAAUGAGUUUUGAGGGGGCCAGCAGGAGCUCACCUGGAGGUGAAUUCAUCAAGUCAUAGUAUUUGUAAAGUGGAGGCUCGGCUCUGUCGUCCAGUGGACCUCAAACGCCGGUGAGUUUUGAGAAUUACCAAGAGAGCUUGGGAAAAUGCAGAGUUUUCAGGCCAUGGACCCAACAUUACAUUUAGUAGGCCCGCAGUGAGGCUAGGAUGAUUUCGAUGCGGGCAGUGCUCUGAGAAAGCUAGAGCCUGGCAGGUAAGGAGGCAGCCUCUGACCACAUCGCUGUGUCCCCAAUGUUUACUCUAGAACCCUCGUCCCACGGCAUGCUCUGCAAGAAGUGAUUUCCAUGAUCAAAUAAGCUUGGAAAUGCUCCCUUUUAGAAAGGAAAAAAAAAAAUCGUAAGGUAUGUGAGCAUGUUUAUGACUCCAAUUUUUUUUUUUAUUUAAAUAAACAGCUUAACUUGUUUUAGUCCAGAGUUUCCCAGCCUUUUGGCCAAGGAGCCAUUUCUUCGUGUGACACGGAGCGACGUCUUGUGGAACGCACUUCAGAAAAUGGGAUUUCCUGUUCAAGUCCCUCCCUCAUCACGUUCUCUGGAUUUCUGAGGCCUUUUCAGCACCCUGCACUGAAACUCAUCCGGGGAGCUGGAACUUGAAAUCAUUUUAAAUGCUGCUCUGUCACACUUCCCUGGGUCUGAACUUUCCUUUAACGUUUAAAGAGAGGGCGGAAGAAAAUUUGCUAGAGGCUUUUAUUGCCUGUUAAUAGUGCACCACGUACUCCAGACUAAGAAGGGGAGGGAGGGAAGUUUCCCUUCUUUGUUCACUGUCUUCCUUGAGCUUGUGUCCAAAACUGCUAGUUGCCUCCCCAUGGCCCAUUCUCUUCGCUCUCUUAGUAAUCAGAAUCUCCAGAGUGUUGAACGCGGCCAUGUGUCUCACUUUAAAACCACAUUUCUCAGCCUCCUUUGCAAAUGAGGUGGUCAGUCAGAUGUAUGCAGAAGUCGCUGGGGAGAUUUCUGGGGAAUCACUUUAAAGGGAACUUACACAUUCAGAAGGCACCCUUUUUGCUCUCCCUCACUUCCUUCUUCUUCCUGCCCGGAACACCAAUAUAGUAGGAGCGCUGGCAGCCCUCUUGGGCCAUGAGGUAAACUUGCAAAUGGAAGCCACUCACUAAGUAAGGAUGGCAGAGCAGCAAGCAGAUUUUGAUGGCAUGGUGAAGCCACCAGAGCAACCCGGUGCUGCCUGAGAGAGAAACAAAAGUGCAGCCCUAUUGGUUUAAACCAUUGUUUUUCAGGCCUCUGAAAAUGCAGUUAGAUGCAACUUUGAAUUCACAGAGAGUAGAACCAUCAAAACCUUUCUGUCAUUGUCCACACAUCUUAGUCAUGCUGGGCUACCAUCCUGACCGUAUCCCUACGUGUCCUUGCUGUGUGUGUGUGUGUGUGUGUGUGUGUGUUCUCGUCCCACCUUUGGCACAAGGCAGUUAUGUUGCUUGGAUCCAGCAGUGUCCAGUGCGGCCACGCCUGUGUCUUUGGCUACCUCUCUCUUUUCUCCUUUGUUGGAAUUAAGCGCAGAACGGAAUCCACUUAGAAUGACAUUUUUGAGAGCUUCGCAUCAUUCUAGAAUGAACUUCCGUUUGGGGAUCCCUGUCCCUAGAACACUUUUUUCUGAAGUUCUGUAACCUGCAUUCCUGUGCGAAACCAGUGAGUGGCUCCUGAGACAAGGGAGGCUGAAGAGAAACUCUAUCGCAAGCCUUCCUUUGUAUCACCAAUGAGAUUUGCUGAAAAGGAGAGUCAUGCGAUUGCAAAGAAAAACUAGAAAUGAGCAUAAUCCUUUUUUUUUUUUUUAAUGUUUAUUAUCUUUGAGAGGGAGAGAGAGAGAGAGACAGAGCACAAGCUGGGGAACAGGAGAGAGAGAGGGAGACACAGAAU
Felis catus (domestic cat) is the source of this 2583-nucleotide long non-coding RNA. RefSeq lists it as uncharacterized. NCBI's taxonomy places the organism in Eukaryota, Metazoa, Chordata, Mammalia, Carnivora, Felidae. The transcript is spliced from 3 exons. The record is from RefSeq and is a predicted model, not a curated record.